RNAcentral lists this ribosomal RNA (465 nucleotides) under Vreelandella stevensii. Its description in RNAcentral is "partial 16S ribosomal RNA". It matches the Rfam family "Bacterial small subunit ribosomal RNA", at positions 338 to 795 of the family's 1533-position model. The record is from RNAcentral. Lineage: Bacteria; Pseudomonadati; Pseudomonadota; Gammaproteobacteria; Oceanospirillales; Halomonadaceae.
CCUACGGGGGGCAGCAGUGGGGAAUAUUGGACAAUGGGGGCAACCCUGAUCCAGCCAUGCCGCGUGUGUGAAGAAGGCCCUCGGGUUGUAAAGCACUUUCAGUGAGGAAGAACGCCUGGUGGUUAAUACCCAUCAGGAAAGACAUCACUCACAGAAGAAGCACCGGCUAACUCCGUGCCAGCAGCCGCGGUAAUUCGGAGGGUGCGAGCGUUAAUCGGAAUUACUGGGCGUAAAGCGCGCGUAGGUGGCUUGAUAAGCCGGUUGUGAAAGCCCCGGGCUCAACCUGGGAACGGCAUCCGGAACUGUCAAGCUAGAGUGCAGGAGAGGAAGGUAGAAUUCCCGGUGUAGCGGUGAAAUGCGUAGAGAUCGGGAGGAAUACCAGUGGCGAAGGCGGCCUUCUGGACUGACACUGACACUGAGGUGCGAAAGCGUGGGUAGCAAACAGGAUUAGAUACCCUAGUAGUC